This 2915-nucleotide ribosomal RNA is filed under the name Vibrio parahaemolyticus O1:Kuk str. FDA_R31. RNAcentral describes it as "bacterial LSU rRNA". It matches the Rfam family "Bacterial large subunit ribosomal RNA". Lineage: Bacteria; Pseudomonadati; Pseudomonadota; Gammaproteobacteria; Vibrionales; Vibrionaceae. The record is from RNAcentral.
GUUGUAUGGUUAAGUGACUAAGCGUACACGGUGGAUGCCUUGGCAGUCAGAGGCGAUGAAGGACGUAUUAACUUGCGAUAAGCCCAGAUUAGGCAGUAAAAGCCACUUGAGUCUGGGAUUUCCGAAUGGGGAAACCCACUAGCAUAAGCUAGUAUCGCUGCGUGAAUACAUAGCGCAGCGAGGCGAACCGGGGGAACUGAAACAUCUAAGUACCCCGAGGAAAAGAAAUCAACCGAGAUUCCGAAAGUAGCGGCGAGCGAAAUUGGACUAGCCCUUAAGCUUUAUAUGCGUUAGACGAACGGUCUGGAAAGUCCGGCGAUACAGGGUGAUAGCCCCGUAGUUGACAACGCACAUUCAGUGAAAUCGAGUAGGGCGGGACACGUGAUAUCCUGUCUGAAUAUGGGGGGACCAUCCUCCAAGGCUAAAUACUACUGACUGACCGAUAGUGAACCAGUACCGUGAGGGAAAGGCGAAAAGAACCCCUGUGAGGGGAGUGAAAUAGAACCUGAAACCGUGUACGUACAAGCAGUAGGAGCAGGCUUGUCCUGUGACUGCGUACCUUUUGUAUAAUGGGUCAGCGACUUAUAUUCAGUGGCAAGGUUAACCAUCUAGGGGAGCCGUAGGGAAACCGAGUCUUAACUGGGCGUUCAGUCUCUGGAUAUAGACCCGAAACCAGGUGAUCUAGCCAUGGGCAGGUUGAAGGUUGAGUAACAUCAACUGGAGGACCGAACCGACUAAUGUUGAAAAAUUAGCGGAUGACUUGUGGCUAGGGGUGAAAGGCCAAUCAAACCUGGAGAUAGCUGGUUCUCCCCGAAAGCUAUUUAGGUAGCGCCUCGGACGAAUACUACUGGGGGUAGAGCACUGUUAAGGCUAGGGGGUCAUCCCGACUUACCAACCCUUUGCAAACUCCGAAUACCAGUAAGUACUAUCCGGGAGACACACGGCGGGUGCUAACGUCCGUCGUGGAGAGGGAAACAACCCAGACCGCCAGCUAAGGUCCCAAAUUACUACUAAGUGGGAAACGAUGUGGGAAGGCUCAGACAGCCAGGAUGUUGGCUUAGAAGCAGCCAUCAUUUAAAGAAAGCGUAAUAGCUCACUGGUCGAGUCGGCCUGCGCGGAAGAUGUAACGGGGCUAAGUAGUAAACCGAAGCUGCGGCAAUAUACUUUUGUAUAUUGGGUAGGGGAGCGUUCUGUAAGCGGUUGAAGGUGUGUGGUAACGCAUGCUGGACGUAUCAGAAGUGCGAAUGCUGACAUGAGUAACGAUAAAGGGGGUGAAAAACCUCCUCGCCGGAAGACCAAGGGUUCCUGUCCAACGUUAAUCGGGGCAGGGUAAGUCGACCCCUAAGGCGAGGCCGAAAGGCGUAGUCGAUGGGAAACGGGUUAAUAUUCCCGUACUUCUUACAAUUGCGAUGGGGGGACGGAGAAGGCUAGGUGGGCCUGGCGACGGUUGUCCAGGUUCAAGUGCGUAGGCUGAGAGAUUAGGUAAAUCCGGUUUCUCUUAAGGCUGAGACACGACGUCGAGCACCUACGGGUGUGAAGUCAUUGAUGCCAUGCUUCCAGGAAAAGCCUCUAAGCUUCAGAUUGUAAGGAAUCGUACCCCAAACCGACACAGGUGGUCGGGUAGAGAAUACCAAGGCGCUUGAGAGAACUCGGGUGAAGGAACUAGGCAAAAUGGUACCGUAACUUCGGGAGAAGGUACGCUCUCGACGGUGAAGUCCCUUGCGGAUGGAGCUAUUGAGAGUCGCAGAUACCAGGUGGCUGCAACUGUUUAUUAAAAACACAGCACUGUGCAAAAUCGUAAGAUGACGUAUACGGUGUGACGCCUGCCCGGUGCCGGAAGGUUAAUUGAUGGGGUUAGACUUCGGUCGAAGCUCUUGAUCGAAGCCCCGGUAAACGGCGGCCGUAACUAUAACGGUCCUAAGGUAGCGAAAUUCCUUGUCGGGUAAGUUCCGACCUGCACGAAUGGCGUAAUGAUGGCCACGCUGUCUCCACCCGAGACUCAGUGAAAUUGAAAUCGCUGUGAAGAUGCAGUGUACCCGCGGCUAGACGGAAAGACCCCGUGAACCUUUACUACAGCUUGGCACUGAACAUUGACCCUACAUGUGUAGGAUAGGUGGGAGGCUUUGAAGCACGUACGCCAGUAUGUGUGGAGCCGUCCUUGAAAUACCACCCUUGUAGUGUUGAUGUUCUAACGUCGACCCCUUAUCGGGGUUGCGGACAGUGCCUGGUGGGUAGUUUGACUGGGGCGGUCUCCUCCCAAAGAGUAACGGAGGAGCACGAAGGUGGGCUAAUCACGGUUGGACAUCGUGAGGUUAGUGCAAUGGCAUAAGCCCGCUUGACUGCGAGAAUGACAAUUCGAGCAGGUGCGAAAGCAGGUCAUAGUGAUCCGGUGGUUCUGAAUGGAAGGGCCAUCGCUCAACGGAUAAAAGGUACUCCGGGGAUAACAGGCUGAUACCGCCCAAGAGUUCAUAUCGACGGCGGUGUUUGGCACCUCGAUGUCGGCUCAUCACAUCCUGGGGCUGAAGUCGGUCCCAAGGGUAUGGCUGUUCGCCAUUUAAAGUGGUACGCGAGCUGGGUUUAGAACGUCGUGAGACAGUUCGGUCCCUAUCUGCCGUGGGCGUUGGAAGAUUGAAGGGGGCUGCUCCUAGUACGAGAGGACCGGAGUGGACGAACCUCUGGUGUUCGGGUUGUGUCGCCAGACGCAUUGCCCGGUAGCUAAGUUCGGAAUCGAUAACCGCUGAAAGCAUCUAAGCGGGAAGCGAGCCCUGAGAUGAGUCUUCCCUGAUACUUUAAGUAUCCUAAAGGGUUGUCGGAGACUACGACGUUGAUAGGUCAGGUGUGUAAGUGCUGUGAGGCAUUGAGCUAACUGAUACUAAUUGCCCGUGAGGCUUAACCAUACAACACCCAAGGGGUUU